GAUGAAGAACGCAGUGAAUCGCGAUAAGUAAUGUGAAUUGCAGAUUUUCCGUGAAUCAUCGAAUCUUUGAACGCACCUUGCGCUCCUUGGUAUUCCGAGGAGCAUGCCUGUUUGAGUGUCAUCGAAACCUCGGAUCGACGCUUCGACCCCGUCGAAGCUCGGUUCGGACUGUGGGAGUCUGCCGGCGAAGCGUGACUUCGUCGGCUCUCCUCAAAAGCAUUAGCUGUGGGUGGCGAGCCUGGCAUGGCACGGCCUGUUCGACGUCGUAGUGAUCGUCGGGGGCUGGAAGUGUAUGGCUCGACGUGACCCAUGCUUCUCGAGUCUUGCGAGCCCGUCCCUCUGUGGGACGGCCGCGCCCCAUCGAAGCUUGACCUCAAAUCAGGUAGGACUACCCGCCGAACUUAAGCAUAUCAAUAGCGGAGGA
Molecule: unclassified non-coding RNA, 424 nt
Filed under: soil metagenome
Description: partial contains 5.8S ribosomal RNA, internal transcribed spacer 2, and large subunit ribosomal RNA
Rfam family: 5.8S ribosomal RNA (bases 1-121)
Source: RNAcentral